This is a non-coding RNA of Danio rerio (zebrafish), 679 nucleotides long. The record is from Ensembl. NCBI's taxonomy places the organism in Eukaryota, Metazoa, Chordata, Actinopteri, Cypriniformes, Danionidae.
UAGGCCCAUGAACAUUUAUCCUGAGAGAUACAGUACAAACAGUAUCUAUAAAAGAGAUUACAAGCUGCGUGGAGCGAUUUCAAGUUACAACACAUAAUUAAACACACAUUUUUAAUUAUGAACACAUUUUAAAACACAUUUUUAAUUAAACUACACGAACAAGGCAAUUUUAAUUGCACUUGCAUGUUAUGAUUGAGGAAAAGGAAACUGGUUCAUAUGAACUGUAACAGUUACUGUCAAAGUCCUUGUCGAAGUCUGACAAAGUCCCAUAGAUGAUGGUCUCUGCUGCACAUUCAUUUACUAGCAAAUGGUUGACGAAUCCCGUGUUGCAGCAUAGGUUUUUGUAUUAAAAAUCUGAUUUACACUCCUUUUUUACUCAUCCUUUUCCUCCCUGUGUGUAAUUCUUUCCUCAUUUCCUCCAUGCAGGAUGUCUGUCUCACCAUUAAUGACAUUUCAGGUAGACAGGACGUUUUCUUGUGCAGUUGGAUGCUGGAACACAAAAAUAGCUUGGAUUUGCUGAAGUCAUAUAGAUGGACCAUGACAGGAAUAGUGCUGCUUGCCGUGAAGCUGGAGCAACAGAGGAUUCUGCUUGGUCUUAAAGUCUUCUUCGAACACUUUAAAACAUUGGUCACCAACACUGUUUCUGGAGAGCUACCUCCCUACAAAUUUUAGUUGCAAC